UCAGAAAAAGGCAAACCAGUCGCGAGGCUGGGACGCAAAGCCAUGGAACUCACGUAGUCAGCCAGGUUACCUGGG
This 75-nucleotide non-coding RNA is filed under the name Chloroflexota bacterium. RNAcentral's name for it is "Chloroflexi bacterium c-di-GMP sequence". It matches the Rfam family "c-di-GMP-I-GGC riboswitch aptamer". Lineage: Bacteria; Bacillati; Chloroflexota. The record is from RNAcentral.